Molecule: ribosomal RNA, 773 nt
Filed under: uncultured bacterium
Lineage: Bacteria
Description: bacterial SSU rRNA
Rfam family: Bacterial small subunit ribosomal RNA
Source: RNAcentral
AGAGUUUGAUCAUGGCUCAGGACGAACGCUGGCGGCGUGCUUAACACAUGCAAGUCGAACGGAAAGGCCCUUCGGGGUACUCGAGUGGCGAACGGGUGAGUAACACGUGGGUGAUCUGCCCUGCACUUUGGGAUAAGCCUGGGAAACUGGGUCUAAUACCGAAUAGGACCACGCGCUUCAUGGUGUGUGGUGGAAAGCUUUUGCGGUGUGGGAUGGGCCCGCGGCCUAUCAGCUUGUUGGUGGGGUAAUGGCCUACCAAGGCGACGACGGGUAGCCGGCCUGAGAGGGUGACCGGCCACACUGGGACUGAGAUACGGCCCAGACUCCUACGGGAGGCAGCAGUGGGGAAUAUUGCACAAUGGGCGCAAGCCUGAUGCAGCGACGCCGCGUGAGGGAUGACGGCCUUCGGGUUGUAAACCUCUUUCAAUAGGGACGAAGCGCAAGUGACGGUACCUAUAGAAGAAGCACCGGCCAACUACGUGCCAGCAGCCGCGGUAAUACGUAGGGUGCGAGCGUUGUCCGGAAUUACUGGGCGUAAAGAGCUCGUAGGUGGUUUGUCGCGUUGUUCGUGAAAACUCACAGCUUAACUGUGGGCGUGCGGGCGAUACGGGCAGACUAGAGUACUGCAGGGGAGACUGGAAUUCCUGGUGUAGCGGUGGAAUGCGCAGAUAUCAGGAGGAACACCGGUGGCGAAGGCGGGUCUCUGGGCAGUAACCGACGCUGAGGAGCGAAAGCGUGGGGAGCGAACAGGAUUAGAUACCCCGGUAGUCCAA